GACGAACGCUGGCGGCGUGCUUAACACAUGCAAGUCGAACGGAAAGGCCCUGCUUGCAGGGUACUCGAGUGGCGAACGGGUGAGUAACACGUGGGUGAUCUGCCCUGCACUUCGGGAUAAGCCUGGGAAACUGGGUCUAAUACCGGAUAGGAGCCAUUUUUAGUGUGAUGGUUGGAAAGUUUUUUCGGUGUAGGAUGAGCUCGCGGCCUAUCAGCUUGUUGGUGGGGUAAUGGCCUACCAAGGCGGCGACGGGUAGCCGGCCUGAGAGGGUGGACGGCCACACUGGGACUGAGAUACGGCCCAGACUCCUACGGGAGGCAGCAGUGGGGAAUAUUGCACAAUGGGCGCAAGCCUGAUGUAGCGACGCCGCGUGGGGGAUGACGGCCUUCGGGUUGUAAACUCCUUUCGCUAGGGACGAAGCUUUUUGUGACGGUACCUAGAUAAGAAGCACCGGCUAACUACGUGCCAGCCGCCGCCGUAA
RNAcentral lists this ribosomal RNA (481 nucleotides) under uncultured bacterium. RNAcentral describes it as "partial 16S ribosomal RNA". It matches the Rfam family "Bacterial small subunit ribosomal RNA", at positions 28 to 523 of the family's 1533-position model. The record is from RNAcentral.